RNAcentral lists this ribosomal RNA (411 nucleotides) under uncultured bacterium. Its description in RNAcentral is "bacterial SSU rRNA". It matches the Rfam family "Bacterial small subunit ribosomal RNA", at positions 505 to 916 of the family's 1533-position model. The record is from RNAcentral.
GUGCCAGCCGCCGCGGUAAUACGUAGGGGGCAAGCGUUGUCCGGAAUCACUGGGCGUAAAGGGUGAGUAGGCGGUUAUUUAAGUUGGGUGUGAAAUCCCCGGGCUUAACCUGGGAAUCGCACUCAAAACUGGGUAACUAGAGUGUCGGAGAGGAAAGCGGAAUUCCUGGUGUAGCGGUGAAAUGCGUAGAUAUCAGGAGGAACACCGGUGGCGAAGGCGGCUUUCUGGACGAUAACUGACGCUGAGGCACGAAAGCGUGGGGAGCAAACAGGAUUAGAUACCCUGGUAGUCCACGCUGUAAACGAUGAAUACUAGGUGUAGGGGGUGUAUACUCUCUGUGCCGCAGCUAACGCAAUAAGUAUUCCGCCUGGGGAGUACGGUCGCAAGACUAAAACUCAAAUGAAUUGACGG